RNAcentral lists this transfer RNA (69 nucleotides) under Marmota monax (woodchuck). It matches the Rfam family "tRNA". Rfam says of the family: Transfer RNA (tRNA) molecules are approximately 80 nucleotides in length. Their secondary structure includes four short double-helical elements and three loops (D, anti-codon, and T loops). Further hydrogen bonds mediate the characteristic L-shaped molecular structure. tRNAs have two regions of fundamental functional importance: the anti-codon, which is responsible for specific mRNA codon recognition, and the 3' end, to which the tRNAs corresponding amino acid is attached (by aminoacyl-tRNA synthetases). tRNAs cope with the degeneracy of the genetic code in two manners: having more than one tRNA (with a specific anti-codon) for a particular amino acid; and 'wobble' base-pairing, i.e. permitting non-standard base-pairing at the 3rd anti-codon position. Lineage: Eukaryota; Metazoa; Chordata; Mammalia; Rodentia; Sciuridae. The record is from Rfam by way of RNAcentral.
GGGGUUGUGGCUCAGUGGUAGAGCACUUGCCUAGCAUGUAUGAGGCACUCGAUUCAAUUCUCAGCUCUG